GCGGCUGUAGUCCAGUCUGGUCUAGGACACUGGCCUCCCAAGCCAGUAACCCGGGUUCAAAGUAAAACAUAGAAUGUUUCUAUUUUUUGGGAAUCCCGGCAGCCGCACCA
This 110-nucleotide transfer RNA is filed under the name Candidatus Freyarchaeota archaeon. RNAcentral describes it as "tRNA-Gly". It matches the Rfam family "tRNA". From Rfam's summary of the family: Transfer RNA (tRNA) molecules are approximately 80 nucleotides in length. Their secondary structure includes four short double-helical elements and three loops (D, anti-codon, and T loops). RNAcentral also lists the same sequence under 1 other name. Lineage: Archaea; Promethearchaeati; Candidatus Freyarchaeota. The record is from RNAcentral.